CAGCCGCCGCGGUAAUACGGAGGGGGCUAGCGUUGUUCGGAAUUACUGGGCGUAAAGCGCACGUAGGCGGCUUUGUAAGUUAGAGGUGAAAGCCCGGAGCUCAACUCCGGAAUUGCCUUUAAGACUGCAGAGCUAGCAGGUGAGAGAGGUGAGUGGAAUUCCGAGUGUAGAGGUGAAAUUCGUAGAUAUUCGGAAGAACACCAGUGGCGAGGGCGGCUCACUGGCUCAUACUGGACGCUGAGGUGCGAAAGCGUGGGGAGCAAACAGGAUUAGAUACCCCGGUAGUCCCUGUCUCUUAUAC
RNAcentral lists this ribosomal RNA (301 nucleotides) under uncultured bacterium. Its description in RNAcentral is "partial 16S ribosomal RNA". It matches the Rfam family "Bacterial small subunit ribosomal RNA", at positions 509 to 807 of the family's 1533-position model. The record is from RNAcentral.